RNAcentral lists this ribosomal RNA (679 nucleotides) under uncultured bacterium. RNAcentral's name for it is "bacterial SSU rRNA". It matches the Rfam family "Bacterial small subunit ribosomal RNA", at positions 201 to 883 of the family's 1533-position model. The record is from RNAcentral.
UUAAAGAUUUAUCGGUGAUGGAUGGGGAUGCGUCUGAUUAGCUUGUUGGCGGGGUAACGGCCCACCAAGGCGACGAUCAGUAGGGGUUCUGAGAGGAAGGUCCCCCACAUUGGAACUGAGACACGGUCCAAACUCCUACGGGAGGCAGCAGUGAGGAAUAUUGGUCAAUGGGCGAGAGCCUGAACCAGCCAAGUAGCGUGCAGGAAGACGGCCCUAUGGGUUGUAAACUGCUUUUAUAGGGGAAUAAAGUGAGCCACGUGUGGUUUUUUGCAUGUACCCUAUGAAUAAGGACCGGCUAAUUCCGUGCCAGCAGCCGCGGUAAUACGGAAGGUCCGGGCGUUAUCCGGAUUUAUUGGGUUUAAAGGGAGCGUAGGCCGGAGAUUAAGCGUGUUGUGAAAUGUAGAUGCUCAACAUCUGAACUGCAGCGCGAACUGGUUUCCUUGAGUACGCAUAAAGUGGGCGGAAUUCGUGGUGUAGCGGUGAAAUGCUUAGAUAUCACGAAGAACUCCGAUUGCGAAGGCAGCUCACUGGGGCGCAACUGACGCUGAAGCUCGAAAGCGCGGGUAUCGAACAGGAUUAGAUACCCUGGUAGUCCGCGCGGUAAACGAUGGAUGCCCGCUGUUGGGCCAACUGGUUCAGCGGCCAAGCGAAAGCAUUAAGCAUCCCACCUGGGGAGUAC